CUGGCCGCUGAUGAGCGGCGGCUAGCCGGCCCUGGAGACCUCCUCCGUUUACGUUGAGAAGGAGGACGAGAUUGCUAUUGCUGCGUCCAACCUCCACGUAUAGGUUCAUCUCUCUCUCUCUCUCUGAAUUUUUUUUUGCUAGGCAAUAUCGUGGCUUACUCCGUCCUCCACCUCUUCUUUUAAGGACACCACCAGGUUAUCCCUCUCUCUCCAAAGGAAUGGAGAAAAUCUCAUCUUUUUUCUUGUGCAUAUCCAUUUUUAUCUGUGCUUAGAAGGUGCUUCAUGAAAGUUGUAGCUAAAGUUACUUGUGAAGAGUUGUGGCUGGGUUCUUUGGUGGAGAUGAGGUGGCUAUGAGAAGCGUUCGGCUGGCACCUGACCCUCAAAUCGUUUGGAUGAUUCUCAGCAGAAGGUGGUGCUCAGGAUUCCUACCAUGAAAGACAGACAAGGUGGAAGCUUCAGAGCGAAAAUCCUGUUAAGUGAGAUUAUUCUAUAACAUGUGUCAACAUGAACGAAUGGGUGUGAUGGGCAGAACACUUCAGCUCUGGUUGUAGGGAGGGUCUCAUAGAUUCACCUUCUCGGUAUAGAUGUCCAUUGGUCAUGUUUCUCGACUUCUCCAUUUUGGAUUUCUUGACAGUUUGUUGUGUGACAUUGGCCGUGUUCUUGCUGCAGGUGUUCCUCUAUCCAUUGGGUGUCCAUUGGUUGCAUAUAUACAACAUGCAAAUUUCCAUUUCUUUGGUCAUGUUGCAAGAUUGCAACUCAUCUUUUUAUAGUCCGUCUCCUGCAUGGUCAGGUUUCACAUACAGUUCAUGGAGUUUUUGAUUCAUUUUUGCUCAAGUAAAAGAUGCCCGUGGCCGCCGGCCACAUUGUGUGAGGUGAGUGAGCACUAUGUCAGUGUUCUUAUUCUGCCGAAGCAUAGGAACUGAAAUAUAAUUGUUCCAAUGAACUCUUAAUAGAGAGGCUUGGUUCGAGGCUCUUCUAGAAUUUCUGGCAGGGAAGAAGAUAUGGACCAGGUUCUAACUAGCUUUCCUUUGUGACGCUGGUGCUAGCUAGCUUAUUUUCUUUCUCUUUUGGCAAUUGCUAGAUCGCUGCAUGUGUUACAGAAUUUCUUUUUCCUACAGAAAUUAUCAAGCUUGCUUGCUUGGCCAUAGGCAUUUUAAACUGUGGUUAACAAAUAAGUGUCAACCAAGUGUUCCAUCCAGUUUAUUUGUGUCAUGAUGCUAUAUAUAUGAACUUUGGAUGCAAUAGUUUCAUUCUAAUUUCACCAUCUUAUUUCAGCGGCUUAUGAGCAAAUGUGCUGCUUUUUUUUUCCUGCGAGGUCAUAUAAUGUUACCUGGGUAUAACAUUGUGAGAGUCUAUUGUUUUCAAGCAUAUAUGUGCUAAUUCAGUAGAAGGUGGUGUCAGUUUAGUUCAUUUAUCCUAACUGAGUCUUAUAGUUGGAUACCAUGCACAUUGCUUGCCUAUUUAUUCCAUUUUCUUCUAAAAUGCAGAAUAUUGAUGGUUUUCUUGCUGUCUUGAAUUUGUCUGAUGGAAACUUCUCUCCCCAAACUCUGUAGCUUCCGUUUGCAGUAACAAGCAUUGAUGAGGAUAGGACUCUACUCUUCCCCAACUUAGAAGCUUUCGUUUUCAGUAUGUUGUUUCACAUGUGGUUCCAUGGCACUGAUAGGUAAAACCAAUUUUAUGUCCAAUACAAAUUGGCACAGAAGAACAUGAUUAGGACGUUCGCAAAAAAAAAAGAACAUGAUUAGGAGGGCGGAGUUACCUCUUUGGAGUUUGAUCAUUUUAAGUUGGCCAAUGCUUAAUUUUGGCCAUGGUUCACAUAGACUGGUUGCUGAAGUUUGUAUACAUACCAUUUUGCAGUUGAGGCUGUUGAUAUUCAUCAGCAAGUAAAAUGCCGUGGAGCACGGGAAAAGGCAAAGCACGACCACAUGGAUCUGAUAAAAUUCUGGGUAUGUAGAAAUAUAUCUUUAGGAAGAACAAUUCCGGGCAGAAGCAUACCGUGACUGUGCAACUCUACAUGCAGAACUGACUGAAUUAGCAUCGAAAAAUCACAAAAUCAACUCUGACCCUGCAGAUGAGCUCGGUGUUGUACUUGUUGAGCCUGCUAUUGAUGAUCCUGAUCCAGGCAAAGGGACCAUUAUCAGUAGUCCUGACAACAAGUCUUAUCAUUUGGUGCUUCGCAACACUGGUCAUAAUGUUCAGGUUAAUCAAAAGAUCAUUUGUGUAGCUUAGGAGUACCUACGUCCAUCAUGUGCAACUUCCAAUCAUUCCUUUGGUUCCGAGUAUUCUGAACUAAAAAUCAUGAUCCCAGUUUAAUGUAGGUUUCUACUUUUUCGAAGUAGUUUUAAUCCUAUGGAUUUGAGUACCAUCUAUUUCUUGCUUACGUUACCAUAUAAUUACCAAUCUAUUUCUUGCUUUUGGUUCCGAGUGUUGUUUCUCCAUUUUGUUUGAGGAUGUAACCCCUGGCUAAGUAAAACUAGCAGUGACCGGCUGAAUUAUAGACUAAUAAAAAUGAGAAUUCUUGCCAAUGCCUGUAAUAAUCUGGUAGAGCUUUUUAUACUUCUCUCACUAACAAUACGGUUUAUAAUGUUGCUGCUGAAACCAGUACUUACACCUGUCUGUAAGCUGUAAUAACUUACAACUAUGUUAGUCUCAUUAUAGCCCCUGCCGCUGGUUUCGAGUUCUCAGGUGCUGCUGCUUGCGGCACAUAUUAUUCUUGGAGUUAUUUUUUUCAAAUUAGCCACAUAAUUAUAUGUAUUGUUUUAUUCAGAUUUUAUAUUCUAAUUAGCAGUAGCCGAUAAAAGUUGGAUCGACUAACAGGGUUCAAGUAUUGUCAGAUGUGCAAAGCUACCGGUUUUGAUUGCUUGCCUCCUUAGUUAUAAUCGAUGACUAUUUUGCCUCUGCUUGUGUCUAUUUUGUUAGUUCAUGCUGGUACAAAGAAUACAUUUAUGUUGUGUUGGUUUACACCCUAUGAAAAAUAGUGCUCUGUUUGCCCAGUAAUAAAUAUUUCUAAUUGCUUGAAUUAUACAUCUUCGAAACAAGUCUGUGACAUGAAUGUGUGCCUUAGAUCCUUUGUAUAUGGUAUAGUUUUGAUAUCAUGGUUUUGAGAAAAUUCGCAUCUCCAGAGGGGGUAUCUUAAUAUUUGUGUGUCCAUAAUUUUUUUCUUUUUAUUGGCAUGUGAUGACAUUUACUUCACCUAACACUUUUGAUCUGGAAAAGCAACUAAUCUUCUUGAUUACACAAACCUGCAGUGUACAACAAGUAUCAAACACGGCAUGCUAUUGUUUUGCUUUACUUGCUACUCUCUCCUUUUAUUAAUAUUUGCUUCCGCUUAUUUUGAAUAAUUCCUUCACAUUAUUUCGCUUUAUAUUCUCCUAUUACAGAAAUUAAUCGAGUAUGCAGAUAUAAUAUGAUAUUGGUUUGUAGACCCUUAAUGCCUUCUUUCAUGUCUGGAUGAGUUCAGAACUUUUUACUACUGAUAGCUGCUUAUGAGCCAUAUUUAGAGAUAUGUAGUAAAUAAAUCUAUUUUUCUACAACGUAAUGCCUGUAAAUUAAAUGCGUGCAACGUUCUUUGACUGAUUUUGCUACUUCUUGCAUAAUUAGGCGAGUCGUACAGUUGUGCUUAUGAUAUCAAUAUAGAUAUAUAUUGAUUCGUUCAGUUGCUUCAGAUAUUUUAAAUGAUUUUAUCAUGUAUGUUUGACAUUCUGCAAUGCACAAUAAUGAUAAAUUGAUUUCACUUCUUAGAAGUUAAUUUCUCAACUAAUCCGUUUACAUGAUUUUUCCGUCUUUCUAAAAUUGAUAUCACUCUAAUUAGGUAUUUCAAUGAGUUUAACUAGAUGCGUGAUAAUGCUCGAAGCAUGCUACGUGAAGUCUCUGUCAUCUAAUUGAACUGUUCUACAAAUUUGCAUCAAAUAUAUGAUGACUCAAACAUUUUAUUGAAUAUAUAGGUGAUGGAGUAGCAGCCUAUAUCCAUUGCAAAGGCUGGAAUAAUUGUGUCCUAAAAUGCUAAAACAUCUGUCCUAGCACAUGAAAAUCCAUCCUGAGUCACGUUAUAAUCAUAGGCUCUGUGGAAUUGACAAUAUCCACCUUCCUCCAAAACUAAUGUCAUCAGUGUGAAAAUAUGCAUCUUGAAGAAUAAAAUUGACGCUGGCCCCCGCCUUUUUGUUCACUUUUUAUUUAGGAUUUUCUCAAAUUAAUGAUUCUUCUCUCUACAGAUCCAAAAUUCUUCAGAUUUUAGGGAUUAUAAUUUCCCGAUGUACCAAGGACAAUAGCAACGAGUGACAUACGUAGCUAAAAAAAUAUGUCAUGCCUUGCAAGUUCCUGAAUAUUGCGGUUAACAAGAGGAUCUAUGUGGUACAUGUGGCUGUUCUCACGAAUACAGAUUGAAGAAGUUUAAACUAUAUAGCUUGGAUUGGAGGGACAAUGUUUGUACGCUCAGAAGUACAUGCUGCCUUUGAUUUACCAUUCUUCCUAAGCUAAACCAAACCGAGAGAUAUCUGAUGGGAAGAAAAAAGAUGCACCUGAUUGAGACGGUGACCUGGUACAACAGCACGCCAGUCUCUACGCCGAUGAGGCCACUGUACCCGUUCCGCUGGCGCUGUCAAGCACCUCAACCAGCCUUGUUGUCCCGUAGGUGCUCUGCCUUUGGUUUCUGGUGGCAAGAGAACUGACACGUCAGUGUCAAGACCAUCAUGCAAGGAGCCACCACCUAUGGACAGCGGCAACACCAUGGCUCUAGACAGCGCGGCCUUCAAUUCACCAUGGUAUUAAAAUGCGGAGCAAGCUUGGUGAAACAAUGGUGAUCAUCUAUUUGGUCGGUUGGAAGAGAGAUUGAGCUCAAAGAAAUGUGAAGAAUCAGGAGAUGCCUGACCAUCGACGGAGUGGAAGAAAAGGAGAUCGUAGAAGAAAGCAAGACACGAGCCAGACAGAGCCAAAGGGCUACAGAGGCAAGGAGAAAAGUUCUGGAUGUGUUGUGUUCGUGUGACCCUGUGUGCGCGUCCGUGGUCUGCGCUAGGCCUGAUUGUAUAUUUCUUUAAUUCCAUAAAAAAGUUCUGUGGUCCUGAUUAUGUCAUGUUGAUUUGUGUGCACAAUAUUCUUUCUUUUGUCAUUCAAUCACCAACGAGUAAAAUAUACAUUGCAA
Molecule: long non-coding RNA, 5137 nt
Organism: Lolium rigidum
Lineage: Eukaryota; Viridiplantae; Streptophyta; Magnoliopsida; Poales; Poaceae
Exons: 5
Source: RefSeq, a predicted model, not a curated record